RNAcentral lists this ribosomal RNA (466 nucleotides) under uncultured bacterium. Its description in RNAcentral is "partial 16S ribosomal RNA". It matches the Rfam family "Bacterial small subunit ribosomal RNA", at positions 28 to 507 of the family's 1533-position model. The record is from RNAcentral.
GAUGAACGCUGGCGGCGUGCUUAACACAUGCAAGUCGAACGGAAAGGCCACAGCUUGCUGUGGUACUCGAGUGGCGAACGGGUGAGUAACACGUGGGUGAUCUGCCCUGUACUUCGGGAUAAGCUUGGGAAACUGGGGCUAAUACCGGAUAGGAAUCACAUGUGGGUGUGGGGUUGGGAAGCUUUUGCGGUAUGGGGUGGGCUCGCGGCCUAUCAGCUUGUUGGGGGGGUUAUGGCCUACCAAGGGGUCGGCGGGUUUCCGGCCCUGGAGGGGGUACGGGCACCAUGGGACUGGGGUUCCGCCCCGAAUCCUACCGGGGGCAGCAGUGGGGAAUUUUGCACAAUGGGCGGAAGCCUGGAGCAGGCACGCCGCGUGGGGGAUGACGGCCUUCGGGUUGUAAACUCCUUUCGUCAGGGACGAAGCGAAAGUGACGGUACCUGGAUAAGAAGCACCGGCUAACUACGUG